This 253-nucleotide ribosomal RNA is filed under the name uncultured bacterium. RNAcentral's name for it is "partial 16S ribosomal RNA". It matches the Rfam family "Bacterial small subunit ribosomal RNA", at positions 524 to 776 of the family's 1533-position model. The record is from RNAcentral.
UACGGAGGGUGCAAGCGUUAUCCGGAUUCACUGGGUUUAAAGGGUGUGUAGGCGGGCUGUUAAGUCAGUGGUGAAAUCUCAAGGCUCAACCUUGAAACUGCCAUUGAUACUAUCAGUCUUGAAUUUUGUUGAGGUAGGCGGAAUAUGUCAUGUAGCGGUGAAAUGCUUAGAUAUGACAUAGAACACCAAUUGCGAAGGCAGCUUGCUAAACAAAUAUUGACGCUGAGGCACGAAAGCGUGGGGAUCAAACAGG